Molecule: ribosomal RNA, 440 nt
Filed under: uncultured bacterium
Lineage: Bacteria
Description: partial 16S ribosomal RNA
Rfam family: Bacterial small subunit ribosomal RNA
Source: RNAcentral
CCUACGGGAGGCAGCAGUGGGGAAUAUUGCACAAUGGGGGGAACCCUGAUGCAGCGACGCCGCGUGGGUGAAGGAGUACUUCGGUACGUAAAGCCCUAUCAGCAGGAAAGAAAAUUACGGUACCUGACUAAGACGCCCCGGCUAACUAGGUGACAGCAGCCGCGGUAAUACCUAGGGGGCAAGCGUUAUCCGGAUUUACUGGGUGUAAAGGGAGCGUAGACGGCAGUGCAAGUCCGGAGUGAAAGCCCGGGGCUCAAGCCUUGGACUGCGCGGGAAACUGCAAAGCUGGAGUGCGGGAGGGGCAGGAGGAAUUCCUGGUGUAGCGGUGAAAUGCGUAGAUAUCGGGAGGAACACCGGCGGCGAAGGCGGCCUGCUGGACCGUAACUGACGUUGAGGCUCGAAAGCGUGGGGAGCAAACAGGAUUAGAUACCCUUGUAGUC